Molecule: long non-coding RNA, 299 nt
Filed under: Elaeis guineensis (African oil palm)
Lineage: Eukaryota; Viridiplantae; Streptophyta; Magnoliopsida; Arecales; Arecaceae
Description: long non-coding RNA (EGUI_LNC005506)
Source: RNAcentral
UUCCAACAGGUAUUUAGAUAUGAUCAGAGGUUUACAGAUCUUGCAGUUUGGAUCUCCAAGUAACUCUAUUUCAAUAACUAUCUAAUGGAGUUACUGAAAGCCUGAUCGUUGAGAGUGUUUGAAUCAUUUAGAUUCUCAGUCCAAUGAGUGAAAAGUUUGACAAUUUGUGAUACUACUGGCUUUGGCAGCUAUGCAUGAAAAUCAAAGCAUGUUUUGUUUCUUUCUUUCCAUAGAAUCCAUAGUCCGGUUGCCAGCAGUAUGUCAAGUUGAUCGCCCUGCAGUAUCAAUGGCAGUGGGUC